Molecule: long non-coding RNA, 1339 nt
Filed under: Theobroma cacao (cacao)
Lineage: Eukaryota; Viridiplantae; Streptophyta; Magnoliopsida; Malvales; Malvaceae
Description: long non-coding RNA (TCAC_LNC004286)
Source: RNAcentral
UGGGAUUUCGUUAUAGCGAGAAACUUGCUGUCUUGCACUAUGCAAUCUGUUACAGUCAGUCAACUUUCUUUGUAUUUUUUACCAUGAUCCUUUUUAAACUGGGUUAAGUGCUAAAUAUCAAAGUUGUAACUCUUCCUCUUAGCUUUCCAUAGUUCUAAGAAUUGUGAUUGGAGUUUUGUAGCUCAAGAUAUGCUCUGAUUACUGCAGCAUGGUUUGAGGUCAACUUAAGCAAAAGUGCAUAAUCCUUUGCAAAUUUGACUUCCAAGCUCUUUGGCACCUUCAUUAACAUAUAGCAUAAUCAAUAGAAGGUACAAACAAGACUUAAUAACAUGAAAAUAAACUCAAAUUACUUAAUUAAACUAUUAAAGCAUGCAUAAACUAAAUACUAAGAAAAAUUAUAAAAACAUCAAAGGCCUAAAUUAAUUAAAAACAAGAGGAUGUUAGUCAUUUUUAAGCUCAAAAGAAUGCAAGACAACUCUAUAAAAUAGAGUUUUCAGAUGGCGCAUUAUGAAUCCCAAAAAUUUACCAAAAGAUACUUUAAAGGCACACUUUAAGGGAUUCAUCUUCAAUUAAUAUAGAUGCAAUUGUUCUCUAGAAAAGAUACAUAGAAACCUCUAGAAAAAGGCCUAUAAACAUUUUAAGAUAUUUUUAAUGGCUUUUGAUCAUAGAUUUUCCAUGGACAAAAAGAGUAGGGAGUGAACAAAAAAGAAGUCAUGAUUAAUGGUGGCUAGAUAGCAGCUUUGCUGGUUUAAUCUGUAUUAAAGAAAAAUGUUGAAGUUAAAACUUAAAACCAAUGCUGAAAAACUUAGUUAAAAAUUGAACAUAUAGCUAUCUCAGCAUUUCAGUUUUACCUUGAAAACAAAUCAUUAAAUAAUAAAUAAAAACUGGUUAGCAUAUGCAGGCCAAAAAAUUGACUUAUAAGCUAAUAGUAGUGUAAUAAAAGAAUGAUGAAAUUCCAAAACUAAUGUGCAUCUAAUUAAUUUCUUUCCUUGAAUUUUCUUCAGAUGAUUUGAAAAAUAAACUUAAAAGGAAAAAUGUAGCUUCCUUAAUCAAUUUAGAUAACCUGAGCAGACAAAACAUGAAUUUCCUUAUUAUUUUUCUUAUAUAUCUGAAGUUUCUGUAGCAAAAACUAAAGCUUACUUUAACGUGGAAUUGUGUAGCAAAAACGUUCUUCUGUGACUUCAAGAAUAGAUAUCAUCUGUCCCAAAAAGGAUAGGAUAUAUAUUCCCUAACAAUUGUCAGCUGUCAGGGAAGGAUAUCAACCAUAAUACUAUCUCCCCUUUCUCUCUCAUAUCCUCUCCCUCUCUAUUCUUUUCUUCUCUUCCUCCUUUGAUGAGUU